Molecule: ribosomal RNA, 253 nt
Filed under: uncultured bacterium
Lineage: Bacteria
Description: partial 16S ribosomal RNA
Rfam family: Bacterial small subunit ribosomal RNA
Source: RNAcentral
UACGGAGGGUGCUAGCGUUGUUCGGAAUCACUGGGCGUAAAGGGCGUGUAGGCGGUCUGUUAAGUCUGAUGUGAAAUCCCCUCGCUCAACGAGGGAACUGCGUCGGAUACUGGCAGACUCGAGUACCGGAGAGGAAGGUGGAAUUCCCGGUGUAGCGGUGAAAUGCGUAGAUAUCGUAAGGAAGACCAGUGGCGAAGGCGGGUCUCUGGACAGUUCCUGACGCUGAGGCACGAAGGUCAGGGGAGCAAACGGG